AGAGUUUGAUCAUGGCUCAGGACGAACGCUGGCGGCGNUAACACAUGCAAGUCGAGCGAUGAAGCUCCUUCGGGAGCGGAUUAGCGGCGGACGGGUGAGUAACACGUGGGUAACCUGCCUCAUAGAGGGGAAUAGCCUUCCGAAAGNNNGAUUAAUACCGCAUAAGAUUGUAGUUUCGCAUGAAACAGCAAUUAAAGGAGUAAUCCGCUAUGAGAUGGACCCGCGUCGCAUUAGCUAGUUGGUGAGGUAACGGCUCACCAAGGCGACGAUGCGUAGCCNNCCUGAGAGGGUGAUCGGCCACAUUGGGACUGAGACACGGCCCAGACUCCUACGGGNNGCAGCAGUGGGGAAUAUUGCACAAUGGGGGAAACCCUGAUGCAGCAACGCCGCGUGAGUGAUGAAGGUCUUCGGAUUGUAAAACUCUGUCUUUGGGGACGAUAAUGACGGUACCCAAGGAGGAAGCCACGGCUAACUACGUGCCAGCAGCCGCGGUAAUACGUAGGUGGCAAGCGUUGUCCGGAUUUACUGGGCGUAAAGGGAGCGUAGGUGGAUAUUUAAGUGGGAUGUGAAAUACUCGGGCUUAACCUGAGUGCUGCAUUCCAAACUGGAUAUCUAGAGUGCAGGAGAGGAAAGUAGAAUUCCUAGUGUAGCGGUGAAAUGCGUAGAGAUUAGGAAGAAUACCAGUGGCGAAGGCGACUUUCUGGACUGUAACUGACACUGAGGCUCGAAAGCGUGGGGAGCAAACAGGAUUAGAUACCCCAGUAGUCC
This 768-nucleotide ribosomal RNA is filed under the name uncultured bacterium. RNAcentral describes it as "bacterial SSU rRNA". It matches the Rfam family "Bacterial small subunit ribosomal RNA", at positions 8 to 796 of the family's 1533-position model. The record is from RNAcentral.